Molecule: ribosomal RNA, 898 nt
Filed under: Bulbithecium spinosum
Lineage: Eukaryota; Fungi; Ascomycota; Sordariomycetes; Hypocreales; Bionectriaceae
Description: LSU rRNA
Rfam family: Eukaryotic large subunit ribosomal RNA
Source: RNAcentral
UAAGCAUAUCAAUAAGCGGAGGAAAAGAAACCAACAGGGAUUGCCCCAGUAACGGCGAGUGAAGCGGCAACAGCUCAAAUUUGAAAUCUGGCCCCAGGCCCGAGUUGUAAUUUGCAGAGGAUGCUUCUGGCGACGUGCCUUCCGAGUUCCCUGGAACGGGACGCCAAAGAGGGUGAGAGCCCCGUCCGGUCGUGCACCUAGCCUCUGUGAAGCUCCUUCGACGAGUCGAGUAGUUUGGGAAUGCUGCUCUAAAUGGGAGGUAUACGUCUUCUAAAGCUAAAUACCGGCCAGAGACCGAUAGCGCACAAGUAGAGUGAUCGAAAGAUGAAAAGCACUUUGAAAAGAGGGUUAAAUAGUACGUGAAAUUGCUGAAAGGGAAGCGCUUAUGACCAGACUUGGGCCGGUGAAUCAUCCGUCGUUCUCGGCGGUGCACUUUGCCGGCUCAGGCCAGCAUCAGUUCGCGCCGGGGGAUAAAGGCUUCGGGAAAGUAGCUCCCUCGGGAGUGUUAUAGACCGUUGUGUAAUACCCUGGUGCGGACUGAGGUACGCGUUCUGCAAGGAUGCUGGCGUAAUGGUCAUCAGUGACCCGUCUUGAAACACGGACCAAGGAGUCGUCUUCGUAUGCGAGUGUUCGGGUGUAAAACCCCUACGCGUAAUGAAAGUGAACGUAGGAGAGAGCUUCGGCGCAUCUCCGACCGAUCCUGAUGUUCUCGGAUGGAUUUGAGUAAGAGCAUACGGGGCCGGACCCGAAAGAAGGUGAACUAUGCCUGUAUAGGGUGAAGCCAGGGGAAACUCUGGUGGAGGCUCGCAGCGGUUCUGACGUGCAAAUCGAUCGUCAAAUAUGGGCAUGGGGGCGAAAGACUAAUCGAACCUUUCUAGUAGCUGGGUUUCCGCCGAAG